CCUACGGGGAGCAGCAGUGAGGAAUAUUGGUCAAUGGGCGCGAGCCUGAACCAGCCAAGUAGCGUGAAGGAUGAAUGCCCUACGGGUUGUAAACUUCUUUUAUAAAGGAAUAAAGUGAGGCACGUGUGCCUUUUUGUAUGUACUUUAUGAAUAAGGAUCGGCUAACGACGUGCCAGCAGCCGCGGUAAUACGGAGGAUCCGAGCGUUAUCCGGAUUUAUUGGGAUUAAAGGGAGCGUAGAUGGGUUGUUAAGUCAGUUGUGAAAGUUUGCGGCUCAACCGUAAAAUUGCAAUUGAUACUGGCAGCCUUGAGUACAGUUGAGGUAGGCGGAAUGCGUGGUGUAGCGGUGAAAUGCUUAGAUAUCACGAAGAACUCCGAUUGCGAAGGCAGCUUACUAAACUGCCACUGACAUUGAUGCUCGAAAGUGUGGGUAUCAAACAGGAUUAGAUACCCUUGUAGUC
This 460-nucleotide ribosomal RNA is filed under the name uncultured bacterium. Its description in RNAcentral is "partial 16S ribosomal RNA". It matches the Rfam family "Bacterial small subunit ribosomal RNA", at positions 338 to 795 of the family's 1533-position model. The record is from RNAcentral.